CACCCAUCAAGUGUACCUUACUAAGGUUGUGCGGACAACCUUGACUCUGGGUGCUCCUGAUGCUUCGUACAGUGAACGGAAGUCCUCAACCAGGAAAUUGUUACCCCAACCCAGUCACUGCACUACUGGCAAUGAACUUCCAAGGACGCUGCUAAUUAGGGACCGUCAAUCAUUCAAGAAGCUGGUGGUAUACUCACGAAAACGAUUCAACAGUAGGGACAAAUCUAGAAACUUGAAUGAAGAACGGAGUGGGCCAAACGCUUCUGGGACGUGCGGGAUUGAUACUGAUGAAAAUGCAGUGCCCACGGCGCGAGAGGUCAGCCUGGCAGUUACUACUGAAGAUAGUCAGUCAGCUUUACAGGAGACCCAAACAAACAGUU
This 380-nucleotide unclassified non-coding RNA is filed under the name Zea mays. RNAcentral describes it as "misc RNA Zm00001eb173300". The record is from RNAcentral. Lineage: Eukaryota; Viridiplantae; Streptophyta; Magnoliopsida; Poales; Poaceae.